GGAGAGGGAGGGAGGGAGGAGGGAGGAGGCGGAGACGGGAGAGGGAGGGAGGAGGCUAGGGUUUUUCUGCUGUCGAGCAGUUGAACCCGAAAACUUUAGCCGACGAAAUAAUUAUUUCGUCCGCUAAAGCUAAGAAUCUCGUCGGCUAAGAAUCAAUUCGUCGGCUAAACCUUCUAAAUUCGUCGGCUAAAACUUUGAAAUUCGUCGGCUAAACCUUUGAAAUUCGUCGGCUAAAGUAUUUUAUACAUUUGGCACAUUGUGAUUGUGAUGAUCAAACUUGAGAAAAAGAAAUCCGACCGUCAGAUCUGACCACCAUGACAAAAUACAUGUAUGACCAAAAAUUCAACUUGAUCCGACAAGAAUAAGGGCUCGAUCCGGACGGUCAAUCUCCUAAGUCAAACCCCUAAACGCACGGAAAAGGUCGUUCGACCGUCUAAAUUACGUAUUUUGGCCGGACCUUCAACUGAAAAUAGUUUUAAAUCGAUGAGACGCAACAAGUUGUAUAACAAUUUUACGCAAAAUAACCACCGAAUAUAGGGCUACUCAUAGGGCGAAAGAAUAAAAAAUUGCAUUGACCGCAACUAUCGGCACCGAAUAUUUACCGGAAUAGUGUGAUUUUUCAACCGUGGAUGUAUUUCAACAUUCUCGUCAUAUCUUAUUUCAUGACUUUUUUGCGUUUGAAGGUUUUACGUAUAGUUUGUUUUUGAAACGGAACAUUUACAUAACACUUGGUAAACAAGUUAUACAACAUUAGUAUGCAUGUUGUGAUUGUGAUGAUCAAACUUGAGAAACAGAAAUCCGACCGUCAGAUCUGACCAUCAUGACAAAGUACAUGUAUGGGAAAAAAUUCAACUUGAUCCGAAAAGAAUAAGGGCUCGAUCCGGACGGUCAAUCUCGUAAGUCAAACCCCUAAACACACGGAAAAGAUCGUUCGACCGUCUAAAUUACGUAUUUUGGCCGGACCUCCAACUGAAAAUAGUUUCAAACCGAUGAGACGCAAGAAGUCGUCUAAAAAUUUUACGGAAAAUAACCACCGAAGAUAGGGCUAUAGUAGGUAAUAGAAAAAUUUUAGGGUUUAACCGACGAAUACCCUAACGUAUUCGUCGGCUAUAGUAUGUAAUUAAAAAAUUAAAAAAUAACUAAAGCCGACGAAAUAUUAGGUUAUUCGUCGGCUAAACCGUAUUAGCCGACGAAAUACACUAUAAUUUGUCGGCUAAGAUGGGUUUAGCCGACGAAAUACACUAUAAUUUGUCGG
This 1255-nucleotide long non-coding RNA is filed under the name Fragaria vesca (wild strawberry). RNAcentral's name for it is "long non-coding RNA (FVES_LNC005268)". The record is from RNAcentral. Lineage: Eukaryota; Viridiplantae; Streptophyta; Magnoliopsida; Rosales; Rosaceae.